This 965-nucleotide ribosomal RNA is filed under the name seawater metagenome. RNAcentral describes it as "bacterial LSU rRNA". It matches the Rfam family "Bacterial large subunit ribosomal RNA", at positions 1951 to 2925 of the family's 2925-position model. The record is from RNAcentral.
CUAAGGUAGCGAAAUUCCUUGUCGGGUAAGUUCCGACCUGCACGAAUGGUGUAACGAUCUGGGCACUGUCUCAGCCACGAGCUCGGUGAAAUUGAAGUAUCGGUGAAGAUGCCGAUUACCCGCAACGGGACGAAAAGACCCCGUGCACCUUUACUACAGCUUCACAUUGUGCUUGAAUAUAAGAUGUGUAGGAUAGGUGGGAGACUAUGAAGGUGUAUCGCUAGAUAUGCUGGAGUCAUCGUUGAAAUACCACCCUUCUUAUAUUUAGGUUCUAAUCUACGAAAGUGGAGACAUUGUGUGGUGGGUAGUUUGACUGGGGUGGUCGCCUCCAAAAGAGUAACGGAGGCUUGCAAAGGUACCCUCAGCAUGGUUGGUAAUCAUGCAAAGAGCAUAUUAGUAUAAGGGUGCUUGACUGAGAGACCGACGGGUCGAACAGGUAGGAAACUAGGCUAAAGUGAUCCGGUAGUUCCGCAUGGAAGGGCUAUCGCUCAAAGGAUAAAAGGUACGCCGGGGAUAACAGGCUGAUCUCCCCCAAGAGCUCAUAUCGACGGGGGGGUUUGGCACCUCGAUGUCGGCUCGUCACAUCCUGGGGCUGGAGAAGGUCCCAAGGGUUGGGCUGUUCGCCCAUUAAAGUGGCACGCGAGCUGGGUUCAGAACGUCGCAAGACAGUUCGGUCUCUAUCUGUUGUGGGCGUAGGAAUAUUGAAGAGGUCUGACACUAGUACGAGAGGACCGUGUUGGACGAACCUCUAGUGUACCAGUUGUGCCGCCAGGUGCAUUGCUGGGUAGCUAUGUUCGGUCAGGAUAAGCGCUGAAAGCAUCUAAGCGCGAAGCCAUCUCUGAGAUGAAUAUUCCAUGGAAUUUAUUCCAAGAGGGUCGUAGAAGAUGACUACGUAGAUAGGCUAUAGGUGGAAGUGCAGCGAUGUAUGGAGCCGAGUAGUACUAAUUACCCGAAUGCUUCCUUUU